RNAcentral lists this ribosomal RNA (854 nucleotides) under Nocardiopsis alba. Its description in RNAcentral is "bacterial SSU rRNA". It matches the Rfam family "Bacterial small subunit ribosomal RNA", at positions 87 to 940 of the family's 1533-position model. Lineage: Bacteria; Bacillati; Actinomycetota; Actinomycetes; Streptosporangiales; Nocardiopsidaceae. The record is from RNAcentral.
GUACACGAGCGGCGAACGGGUGAGUAACACGUGAGCAACCUGCCCCUGACUCUGGGAUAAGCGGUGGAAACGCCGUCUAAUACCGGAUACGACCUUCCGCCUCAUGGUGGAGGGUGGAAAGUUUUUUCGGUCAGGGAUGGGCUCGCGGCCUAUCAGCUUGUUGGUGGGGUAACGGCCUACCAAGGCGAUUACGGGUAGCCGGCCUGAGAGGGCGACCGGCCACACUGGGACUGAGACACGGCCCAGACUCCUGCGGGAGGCAGCAGUGGGGAAUAUUGCGCAAUGGGCGAAAGCCUGACGCAGCGACGCCGCGUGGGGGAUGACGGCCUUCGGGUUGUAAACCUCUUUUACCACCAACGCAGGCUCCGGGUUUUCUCGGGGUUGACGGUAGGUGGGGAAUAAGGACCGGCUAACUACGUGCCAGCAGCCGCGGUAAUACGUAGGGUCCGAGCGUUGUCCGGAAUUAUUGGGCGUAAAGAGCUCGUAGGCGGCGUGUCGCGUCUGCUGUGAAAGACCGGGGCUUAACUCCGGUUCUGCAGUGGAUACGGGCAUGCUAGAGGUAGGUAGGGGAGACUGGAAUUCCUGGUGUAGCGGUGAAAUGCGCAGAUAUCAGGAGGAACACCGGUGGCGAAGGCGGGUCUCUGGGCCUUACCUGACGCUGAGGAGCGAAAGCAUGGGGAGCGAACAGGAUUAGAUACCCUGGUAGUCCAUGCCGUAAACGUUGGGCGCUAGGUGUGGGGACUUUCCACGGUUUCCGCGCCGUAGCUAACGCAUUAAGCGCCCCGCCUGGGGAGUACGGCCGCAAGGCUAAAACUCAAAGGAAUUGACGGGGGCCCGCACAAGCGGCGGAGCAU